Long non-coding RNA from Carassius carassius (crucian carp), 202 nucleotides. RefSeq lists it as uncharacterized. The record is from RefSeq and is a predicted model, not a curated record. The transcript is spliced from 2 exons. Lineage: Eukaryota; Metazoa; Chordata; Actinopteri; Cypriniformes; Cyprinidae.
CGAUGGGCGAUGGGUCUCAUGACUCAUGGCUGGACAACUGAAAGAGGGACACUGUGAAAUGACUUCGAUAGAAUCUAGAACUCCUCUGAAAAACCCUUGGAGGUCCCGGGCCCCAAUUUGAAAACCUCUGCAGAAAGGUAUGGAGUUACCGAGCCAGAGUAUCACCCAAAACAAAUGCAAAAUAAAGAGACACUCAAGCCUA